GGAGUGUGAAAGACUUCAAAAUUGAGAGAAUUCAUUCUUGUUGGUGAGAAGGCCUUGAGGAACUCAACCUACAAAUUAUCUCAUUGUUGCAAGAAUAAGAGAGAAAUCACUCAUUACUAAAAAUGCCUCAUUAUGCUAUUCAGGCACACUGAAAACUUUUCUGAGAAUAUACCUUCUGUGGAGAAAUGGAGCCAGAGGCCCUGAUCCUGUAGGAAUGCUUUGGUCCCCCCAUCUCUCAGAGCUGCCAGACGUGUGCAGUGUGGGAAGUACGUGUGUGGCUCCUGGGGAUUUCAGUGAGCAUGUUCCAUAAAGAAGUGUGAAAUUACCAAAGUGAUUGAGAGAAGCUAGCAGCAGUAGUCCAGAGCUCAGAGAGAUUUGCAGGCAGUUUCCAUCGUGCUGCGGUCUUACAAGUCAAACGCAAUCUGUGGGCACAGGUAGGAUUUGAUUUUUGGUUUUGAAAAGCUGGACAUACAGGAAUGGCAGUCAACUGAUUCUUUCC
This is a long non-coding RNA of Lagopus muta (rock ptarmigan), 499 nucleotides long. RefSeq lists it as uncharacterized. The transcript has 3 exons. Lineage: Eukaryota; Metazoa; Chordata; Aves; Galliformes; Phasianidae. The record is from RefSeq and is a predicted model, not a curated record.